GAUGAACGCUGGCGGCGUGCCUAACACAUGCAAGUCGAGCGAACAAACGAGGCGUUUGCUCCUUUGACGUGAGCGGCGGGCGGGUGAGUCACACGAGUGUAACCUACCUAUAAGAGUGGGAUCACUACGGGAAAGCGGAUAUAACACCGGAUAAGAUCUUGAACCGCAGGGUUCGUUGGUGAAAGAUGGCUUUGCUGUCACUACUAGAUGGACCUGCGCCGGUUUGGGUGGUUGUUAGGGUAACGGCUUACCAAGGCUACGAUUCGUGGCCGACCUGGGAGGGUGAUCGGCCGCACUGGAACUGAGACACGGUCCAGGCUCCUGCGGGAGGCAGCAGUAGGGAAUGUUAGGCAAUGGGCGAAAGCCUGACGCAGCAACGCCGCGUGUGUGAUGAAGGUCUUCGGAUCGUAAAGCUCUGUUACUGGGGAAGAACAGACGUGUAAUUAAAUGUGGACGUCUUGACGGUACCUAAUCAAAAAGCACCGGCUAACUACGUG
RNAcentral lists this ribosomal RNA (497 nucleotides) under uncultured bacterium. Its description in RNAcentral is "partial 16S ribosomal RNA". It matches the Rfam family "Bacterial small subunit ribosomal RNA", at positions 28 to 507 of the family's 1533-position model. The record is from RNAcentral.